Molecule: unclassified non-coding RNA, 160 nt
Organism: Aotus nancymaae (Ma's night monkey)
Lineage: Eukaryota; Metazoa; Chordata; Mammalia; Primates; Aotidae
Source: Ensembl
UUGACAGUCUCAGAGAUCAAAGUUCUCUUUUUAUCAACUAAACAGAUAUAGCACAGGGAGUAAAAAUUUCCCAUCUGCCCAAACCACUGCUCUGGAGAUUUUAUCUAUAAAGGAUGAGAGGAUUUUUCAAGCUCUUUACCUUUGUCUUUCUCUUUAGAGG